UACGGAGGAUGCGAGCGUUAUCCGGAUUUAUUGGGUUUAAAGGGUGCGCAGGCGGCGUGUCAAGUCAGCGGUAAAAUGUCGGGGCUCAACCCCGGCCGGCCGUUGAAACUGGCGUGCUUGAGUGGGCGAGAAGUAUGCGGAAUGCGUGGUGUAGCGGUGAAAUGCAUAGAUAUCACGCAGAACUCCGAUUGCGAAGGCAGCAUACCGGCGCCCAACUGACGCUGAAGCACGAAAGCGUGGGUAUCGAACAGG
Molecule: ribosomal RNA, 252 nt
Filed under: uncultured bacterium
Lineage: Bacteria
Description: partial 16S ribosomal RNA
Rfam family: Bacterial small subunit ribosomal RNA
Source: RNAcentral